GGAGGCGCUCAAAGGUUCCCUCAGAAUGGUUGGAAAUCAUUCGCAGAGUGUAAAGGCACAAGGGAGCUUGACUGCGAGACCUACAAGUCGAGCAGGGUCGAAAGACGGACUUAGUGAUCCGGUGGUUCCGCAUGGAAGGGCCAUCGCUCAACGGAUAAAAGCUACCCCGGGGAUAACAGGCUUAUCUCCCCCAAGAGUUCACAUCGACGGGGAGGUUUGGCACCUCGAUGUCGGCUCAUCGCAUCCUGGGGCUGUAGUCGGUCCCAAGGGUUGGGCUGUUCGCCCAUUAAAGCGGUACGCGAGCUGGGUUCAGAACGUCGUGAGACAGUUCGGUCCCUAUCCGUCGUGGGCGUAGGAAAUUUGAGAGGAGCUGUCCUUAGUACGAGAGGACCGGGAUGGACAUACCUCUGGUGUACCAGUUGUCGCGCCAGCGGCAUAGCUGGGUAGCUAUGUAUGGACGGGAUAAGUGCUGAAAGCAUCUAAGCAUGAAGCCCCCCUCAAGAUGAGAUUUCCCAACUUCGGUUAUAAGAUCCCUCAAAGAUGAUGAGGUUAAUAGGUUCGGGGUGUAAGCGCAGUAAUGUGUGUAGCUGACGAAUACUAAUCGAUCGAAGACUUAAUCAA
Molecule: ribosomal RNA, 621 nt
Filed under: Mammaliicoccus sciuri
Lineage: Bacteria; Bacillati; Bacillota; Bacilli; Caryophanales; Staphylococcaceae
Description: partial 23S ribosomal RNA
Rfam family: Bacterial large subunit ribosomal RNA
Source: RNAcentral